AGGUGGGAGGAUUGCUUGAGCCUGGGAGGUGGAGGUUGCAGUGAGCUGAGAUCACACCACUGCACUCCAACCUGGG
Cercocebus atys (sooty mangabey) is the source of this 76-nucleotide microRNA precursor. The record is from Ensembl. Lineage: Eukaryota; Metazoa; Chordata; Mammalia; Primates; Cercopithecidae.